AAUCGUACCCCAAACCGACACAGGUGGUCAGGUAGAGAAUACCAAGGCGCUUGAGAGAACUCGGGUGAAGGAACUAGGCAAAAUGGUGCCGUAACUUCGGGAGAAGGCACGCUGAUGGUAGGUGAAGCGACUUGCUCGUGGAGCUGAAAUCAGUCGAAGAUACCAGCUGGCUGCAACUGUUUAUUAAAAACACAGCACUGUGCAAACACGAAAGUGGACGUAUACGGUGUGACGCCUGCCCGGUGCCG
RNAcentral lists this ribosomal RNA (248 nucleotides) under Klebsiella oxytoca. Its description in RNAcentral is "partial 23S ribosomal RNA". It matches the Rfam family "Bacterial large subunit ribosomal RNA", at positions 1640 to 1871 of the family's 2925-position model. Lineage: Bacteria; Pseudomonadati; Pseudomonadota; Gammaproteobacteria; Enterobacterales; Enterobacteriaceae. The record is from RNAcentral. RNAcentral also lists the same sequence under 1 other name.